UACAGAGGGGGCAAGCGUUGUUCGGAAUUACUUGGCGUAAAGGGCGCGUAGGCGGCCUGCUAAGUCGAACGUGAAAUCCCCGGGCUCAACCCGGGAACUGCGUCCGAUACUGGCAGGCUUGAAUCCGGGAGAGGGAUGCGGAAUUCCAGGUGUAGCGGUGAAAUGCGUAGAUAUCUGGAGGAACACCGGUGGCGAAGGCGGCAUCCUGGACCGGCAUUGACGCUGAGGCGCGAAAGCCAGGGGAGCAAACGGG
RNAcentral lists this ribosomal RNA (253 nucleotides) under uncultured bacterium. RNAcentral describes it as "partial 16S ribosomal RNA". It matches the Rfam family "Bacterial small subunit ribosomal RNA", at positions 524 to 776 of the family's 1533-position model. The record is from RNAcentral.